Molecule: small nuclear RNA, 103 nt
Organism: Eptesicus fuscus (big brown bat)
Lineage: Eukaryota; Metazoa; Chordata; Mammalia; Chiroptera; Vespertilionidae
Source: RefSeq, a predicted model, not a curated record
UUGCUUGCGCAACACAUAUACUAAAAUUGAAAUGAUACAAAGAAAAUUAGCACAGCCUGUGCUCAAGGAUGAUGCACAAAUUUGUGAAGCGUUACGCAUAAAU